This 349-nucleotide ribosomal RNA is filed under the name Terebra laevigata. RNAcentral's name for it is "partial 12S ribosomal RNA". It matches the Rfam family "Bacterial small subunit ribosomal RNA", at positions 870 to 1384 of the family's 1533-position model. The record is from RNAcentral. Lineage: Eukaryota; Metazoa; Mollusca; Gastropoda; Neogastropoda; Terebridae.
UACCAGAGUACUAUGAAUGUUGUAAAUUUAAAACUCAAAGAACUUGGCGGUGUUUUAGACCACUCAGGGGAACCUGUCUCGUAAUCGACAAUCCACGUUGUACCUGACCUUUUUUUGUUUUCAGUUUGUAUACCGUUGUCGUCAGGUAACUUUUUAGAAUACAGAAGUUGGCUGGAAAAAUAGAUAAUUUAGUACGUCAAAUCAAGGUGCAGCUUAUAGAAAGGGGAGGAUGGGUUACAAUUAUUAAUUUAUAAUUACGAAUGAUUAUGUUAAAGUGUAAUGUUAGAAGGAGGACUUGAAAGUAAAUUGGAUUUAUAAAAAUAAAUUUGAAUAAGGCUCUGAAACGUGU